CGAUGAUCCCAGCUUGCUGGGGGAUUAGUGGCGAACGGGUGAGUAACACGUGAGUAACCUGCCCUUGACUCUGGGAUAAGCCUGGGAAACUGGGUCUAAUACCGGAUAUGACCUUCCAUCGCAUGGUGGUUGGUGGAAAGCUUUUGUGGUUUUGGAUGGACUCGCGGCCUAUCAGCUUGUUGGUGAGGUAAUGGCUUACCAAGGCGACGACGGGUAGCCGGCCUGAGAGGGUGACCGGCCACACUGGGACUGAGACACGGCCCAGACUCCUACGGGAGGCAGCAGUGGGGAAUAUUGCACAAUGGGCGCAAGCCUGAUGCAGCGACGCCGCGUGAGGGAUGACGGCCUUCGGGUUGUAAACCUCUUUCAGUAGGGAAGAAGCCGCAAGGUGACGGUACCUGCAGAAGAAGCGCCGGCUAACUACGUGCCAGCAGCCGCGGUAAUACGUAGGGCGCAAGCGUUAUCCGGAAUUAUUGGGCGUAAAGAGCUCGUAGGCGGUUUGUCGCGUCUGCCGUGAAAGUCCGGGGCUCAACUCCGGAUCUGCGGUGGGUACGGGCAGACUAGAGUGAUGUAGGGGAGACUGGAAUUCCUGGUGUAGCGGUGAAAUGCGCAGAUAUCAGGAGGAACACCGAUGGCGAAGGCAGGUCUCUGGGCAUUAACUGACGCUGAGGAGCGAAAGCAUGGGGAGCGAACAGGAUUAGAUACCCUGGUAGUCCAUGCCGUAAACGUUGGGCACUAGGUGUGGGGGACAUUCCACGUUUUCCGCGCCGUAGCUAACGCAUUAAGUGCCCCGCCUGGGGAGUAC
RNAcentral lists this ribosomal RNA (805 nucleotides) under Pseudarthrobacter sp. RNAcentral describes it as "bacterial SSU rRNA". It matches the Rfam family "Bacterial small subunit ribosomal RNA", at positions 67 to 883 of the family's 1533-position model. Lineage: Bacteria; Bacillati; Actinomycetota; Actinomycetes; Micrococcales; Micrococcaceae. The record is from RNAcentral.